This 281-nucleotide ribosomal RNA is filed under the name uncultured bacterium. Its description in RNAcentral is "partial 16S ribosomal RNA". It matches the Rfam family "Bacterial small subunit ribosomal RNA", at positions 28 to 312 of the family's 1533-position model. The record is from RNAcentral.
GACGAACGCUGGCGGCGUGCUUAACACAUGCAAGUCGAGCGGUAAGGCCCUUUCGGGGGUACACGAGCGGCGAACGGGUGAGUAACACGUGGGUGACCUGCCUCAGCUCUGGGAUAAGCCUGGGAAACCGGGUCUAAUACCGGAUAUGACUCCAUGACGCAUGUUAGUGGGGUGGAAAGCCUUGUGUGGCUGAGGAUGGGCCCGCGGCCUAUCAGCUUGUUGGUGGGGUGAUGGCCUACCAAGGCGACGACGGUAGCCGGCCUGAGGGGCGACCGGCCACA